RNAcentral lists this ribosomal RNA (1013 nucleotides) under Scolytoplatypus tycon. RNAcentral describes it as "16S ribosomal RNA". Lineage: Eukaryota; Metazoa; Arthropoda; Insecta; Coleoptera; Curculionidae. The record is from RNAcentral.
GGUUUAUUUAAAGUUUAUUUUAUAUUAAAUAAUCUCGAAUUUAAUAAGGGCUAUAAAGUUAUAUUAGUAUAUGUAGAAAAAUAUUAUUCAAUAAUUUUAUAGAAAUGAAAGGUUAUUCUAUUUUAAAUAUAUCUAGUUUUUUAAGAAAUUAAUUUAAUUAAAUUUGUAUGUUAGAAUAAUUUUAUUUGGGUAGAUUUAUUUUUGUAUAAAUUAAUAAAAAAUGGGAUAAUCUUUUUUUUAAAUUAAUAUAAAGUCUAUAAAAUUUUUAUUAAUUGGUAGAAUUAAUAGUUUUUAUUCUGUGAGUUAUAUCUAAUUUAUAUGUUUGAAUUAUAAUUUAUUUUAGUUUUAUUUAUUAUAUUAAAAAAUAAGGUUUUAUUUAUAAAGUUUAGCUAUAAUGAUAAAAUUAGUAUAAAAUUUUAUUUAUAUUAUUAGUAUUUUGAUAGGUUUAUGUUAAGAAUUAGGCAAAUAAAAUUUUCACCUGUUUAAUAAAAACAUGUCCUUUAGGUAUUAAUUUAAGGUCUAAUCUGCUCAAUGAAUUUUAAAUAGCCGCAGUAUUUUGACUGUGCUAAGGUAGCAUAAUCAAUAGUUUAUUAAUUAUAAGCUUGAAUGAAUGAUUGGAUGAGAAAUUGACUAUUUAAAGUUAAAUUUAAUUGGAAAUUUAUUUUUAAGUGAAAAAGCUUAAAUUUUUAUUAAAGACAAGAAGACCCUAUAGAGUUUUAUAGAAUAUAUUUAUUUAUAAAAAAAAUAAGUUUUAGUUUAUAGAUUAAAUAUUUUAAUUGAUUGGGGUGAUUGAUAAAUUAAUAAAAUUUUAUUAUUUUAAAACAUUGAUUUAUGAAAAUUUUGAUCCUUAUAAAAGAUUAAUAGAAAUAAUUACCUUAGGGAUAACAGCGUAAUUUUUCUUUAGAGUUCAUAUUAAAAGAAAAGUUUGCGACCUCGAUGUUGGAUUAAGAUUAAUUAUUGGUGUAGAAGCUAAGUAAAUUAGGUCUGUUCGACCUUUAAAAUCUUACAUGAUC